AUUAGAAUUUCCUUAUGAAAGAAGGCAUAACACCCUAGCAUAUCAAAAAAAUUAAGCAUAAGUCACGUAGACAAGUCUUCACUCCCUCAACUUUGCCUUCCAAAAAUAAAAAUUAAAAAACCCAGAAAAACACACCCAUUUAAGCCCUUGACAGUGUACGCGCACCUAAUUCGCUCAUUUGUCAUACUCACAUCCUUCUCUUUCAAGACGCUCCGC
Molecule: unclassified non-coding RNA, 216 nt
Filed under: Hevea brasiliensis (rubber tree)
Lineage: Eukaryota; Viridiplantae; Streptophyta; Magnoliopsida; Malpighiales; Euphorbiaceae
Source: RNAcentral